GAAGUAAAGCAAGGGGAUCAAGAAGGUGGAUUUUCUGGUGUACUUCUUCGAGUAUAUGAGCCUCACAAUGAGCUUGUUAACUGUAAUUAUUGCAGGACUUCACUAGUGGAUUUUCACA
Molecule: long non-coding RNA, 118 nt
Organism: Zingiber officinale
Lineage: Eukaryota; Viridiplantae; Streptophyta; Magnoliopsida; Zingiberales; Zingiberaceae
Exons: 3
Source: RefSeq, a predicted model, not a curated record